UGGGGAAUCAUGGUCAAUGGGCGAAAGCCUGAACCUGCGACGCCGCGUGAGUGAUGAAGGUCGUAAGAUCGUAAAACUCUUUUCAGGGAUCUUAAAGCACAACCGUCAACAACGGCUGUGUGUGACUCUCCCUGGAAGAAGCCCCAGCCAACUACGUGCCAGCAGCUGCGGUAAUACGGAGGGUGCAAGCGUUAUUCGGAAUUACUGGGCGUAAAGCGCGUGUAGGCGGUCCUGCAAGUCUGAUGUGAAAGCCCCGGGCUUAACCCGGGAAGUGCAUUGGAAACUGUGGGACUUGAGUACUGGAGAGGAUGGGGGAAUUCCCGGUGUAGAGGUGAAAUUCGUAGAGAUCGGGAGGAAUAUCAGUGGCGAAGGCGCCCAUCUGGACGGUAACUGACGCUGAGACGCGAAAGCGUGGGGAGCAAACA
This 425-nucleotide ribosomal RNA is filed under the name uncultured prokaryote. RNAcentral's name for it is "bacterial SSU rRNA". It matches the Rfam family "Bacterial small subunit ribosomal RNA", at positions 355 to 774 of the family's 1533-position model. The record is from RNAcentral.